This 72-nucleotide transfer RNA is filed under the name Marmota marmota marmota (Alpine marmot). It matches the Rfam family "tRNA". From Rfam's summary of the family: Transfer RNA (tRNA) molecules are approximately 80 nucleotides in length. Their secondary structure includes four short double-helical elements and three loops (D, anti-codon, and T loops). Further hydrogen bonds mediate the characteristic L-shaped molecular structure. tRNAs have two regions of fundamental functional importance: the anti-codon, which is responsible for specific mRNA codon recognition, and the 3' end, to which the tRNAs corresponding amino acid is attached (by aminoacyl-tRNA synthetases). tRNAs cope with the degeneracy of the genetic code in two manners: having more than one tRNA (with a specific anti-codon) for a particular amino acid; and 'wobble' base-pairing, i.e. permitting non-standard base-pairing at the 3rd anti-codon position. The record is from Rfam by way of RNAcentral. RNAcentral also lists the same sequence under 1 other name. Lineage: Eukaryota; Metazoa; Chordata; Mammalia; Rodentia; Sciuridae.
GAUGUUGUAGCUCAGUGGUUUGAGUGCUCACCUCACAUGUGGAAGGCACUGGGUUUAAUCCUCAGCACCACA